GGUUAAGCGACUAAGCGUACACGGUGGAUGCCCUGGCAGUCAGAGGCGAUGAAGGACGUGCUAAUCUGCGAUAAGCGUCGGUAAGGUGAUAUGAACCGUUAUAACCGGCGAUUUCCGAAUGGGGAAACCCAGUGUGAUUCGUCACACUAUCAUUAACUGAAUCCAUAGGUUAAUGAGGCGAACCGGGGGAACUGAAACAUCUAAGUACCCCGAGGAAAAGAAAUCAACCGAGAUUCCCCCAGUAGCGGCGAGCGAACGGGGAGCAGCCCAGAGCCUGAAUCAGUGUGUGUGUUAGUGGAAGCGUCUGGAAAGGCGCGCGAUACAGGGUGACAGCCCCGUACACAAAAAUGCACAUGCUGUGAGCUCGAUGAGUAGGGCGGGACACGUGGUAUCCUGUCUGAAUAUGGGGGGACCAUCCUCCAAGGCUAAAUACUCCUGACUGACCGAUAGUGAACCAGUACCGUGAGGGAAAGGCGAAAAGAACCCCGGCGAGGGGAGUGAAAAAGAACCUGAAACCGUGUACGUACAAGCAGUGGGAGCACGCUUCGGCGUGUGACUGCGUACCUUUUGUAUAAUGGGUCAGCGACUUAUAUUCUGUAGCAAGGUUAACCGAAUAGGGGAGCCGAAGGGAAACCGAGUCUUAACUGGGCGUUAAGUUGCAGGGUAUAGACCCGAAACCCGGUGAUCUAGCCAUGGGCAGGUUGAAGGUUGGGUAACACUAACUGGAGGACCGAACCGACUAAUGUUGAAAAAUUAGCGGAUGACUUGUGGCUGGGGGUGAAAGGCCAAUCAAACCGGGAGAUAGCUGGUUCUCCCCGAAAGCUAUUUAGGUAGCGCCUCGUGAAUUCAUCUCCGGGGGUAGAGCACUGUUUCGGCAAGGGGGUCAUCCCGACUUACCAACCCGAUGCAAACUGCGAAUACCGGAGAAUGUUAUCACGGGAGACACACGGCGGGUGCUAACGUCCGUCGUGAAGAGGGAAACAACCCAGACCGCCAGCUAAGGUCCCAAAGUCAUGGUUAAGUGGGAAACGAUGUGGGAAGGCCCAGACAGCCAGGAUGUUGGCUUAGAAGCAGCCAUCAUUUAAAGAAAGCGUAAUAGCUCACUGGUCGAGUCGGCCUGCGCGGAAGAUGUAACGGGGCUAAACCAUGCACCGAAGCUGCGGCAGCGACACUAUGUGUUGUUGGGUAGGGGAGCGUUCUGUAAGCCUGUGAAGGUGUACUGUGAGGUAUGCUGGAGGUAUCAGAAGUGCGAAUGCUGACAUAAGUAACGAUAAAGCGGGUGAAAAGCCCGCUCGCCGGAAGACCAAGGGUUCCUGUCCAACGUUAAUCGGGGCAGGGUGAGUCGACCCCUAAGGCGAGGCCGAAAGGCGUAGUCGAUGGGAAACAGGUUAAUAUUCCUGUACUUGGUGUUACUGCGAAGGGGGGACGGAGAAGGCUAUGUUGGCCGGGCGACGGUUGUCCCGGUUUAAGCGUGUAGGCUGGUUUUCCAGGCAAAUCCGGAAAAUCAAGGCUGAGGCGUGAUGACGAGGCACUACGGUGCUGAAGCAACAAAUGCCCUGCUUCCAGGAAAAGCCUCUAAGCAUCAGGUAACAUCAAAUCGUACCCCAAACCGACACAGGUGGUCAGGUAGAGAAUACCAAGGCGCUUGAGAGAACUCGGGUGAAGGAACUAGGCAAAAUGGUGCCGUAACUUCGGGAGAAGGCACGCUGAUAUGUAGGUGAAGCGACUUGCUCGUGGAGCUGAAAUCAGUCGAAGAUACCAGCUGGCUGCAACUGUUUAUUAAAAACACAGCACUGUGCAAACACGAAAGUGGACGUAUACGGUGUGACGCCUGCCCGGUGCCGGAAGGUUAAUUGAUGGGGUUAGCGGUAACGCGAAGCUCUUGAUCGAAGCCCCGGUAAACGGCGGCCGUAACUAUAACGGUCCUAAGGUAGCGAAAUUCCUUGUCGGGUAAGUUCCGACCUGCACGAAUGGCGUAAUGAUGGCCAGGCUGUCUCCACCCGAGACUCAGUGAAAUUGAACUCGCUGUGAAGAUGCAGUGUACCCGCGGCAAGACGGAAAGACCCCGUGAACCUUUACUAUAGCUUGACACUGAACAUUGAGCCUUGAUGUGUAGGAUAGGUGGGAGGCUUUGAAGUGUGGACGCCAGUCUGCAUGGAGCCGACCUUGAAAUACCACCCUUUAAUGUUUGAUGUUCUAACGUUGACCCGUGAUCCGGGUUGCGGACAGUGUCUGGUGGGUAGUUUGACUGGGGCGGUCUCCUCCUAAAGAGUAACGGAGGAGCACGAAGGUUGGCUAAUCCUGGUCGGACAUCAGGAGGUUAGUGCAAUGGCAUAAGCCAGCUUGACUGCGAGCGUGACGGCGCGAGCAGGUGCGAAAGCAGGUCAUAGUGAUCCGGUGGUUCUGAAUGGAAGGGCCAUCGCUCAACGGAUAAAAGGUACUCCGGGGAUAACAGGCUGAUACCGCCCAAGAGUUCAUAUCGACGGCGGUGUUUGGCACCUCGAUGUCGGCUCAUCACAUCCUGGGGCUGAAGUAGGUCCCAAGGGUAUGGCUGUUCGCCAUUUAAAGUGGUACGCGAGCUGGGUUUAGAACGUCGUGAGACAGUUCGGUCCCUAUCUGCCGUGGGCGCUGGAGAACUGAGGGGGGCUGCUCCUAGUACGAGAGGACCGGAGUGGACGCAUCACUGGUGUUCGGGUUGUCAUGCCAAUGGCACUGCCCGGUAGCUAAAUGCGGAAGAGAUAAGUGCUGAAAGCAUCUAAGCACGAAACUUGCCCCGAGAUGAGUUCUCCCUGACUCCCUGAGAGUCCUGAAGGAACGUUGAAGACGACGACGUUGAUAGGCCGGGUGUGUAAGCGCAGCGAUGCGUUGAGCUAACCGGUACUAAUGAACCGUGAGGCUUAACCUU
This 2905-nucleotide ribosomal RNA is filed under the name Escherichia coli. RNAcentral's name for it is "23S ribosomal RNA". It matches the Rfam family "Bacterial large subunit ribosomal RNA". Lineage: Bacteria; Pseudomonadati; Pseudomonadota; Gammaproteobacteria; Enterobacterales; Enterobacteriaceae. The record is from RNAcentral.